This 4656-nucleotide long non-coding RNA is filed under the name Homo sapiens (human). RNAcentral's name for it is "non-protein coding lnc-C10orf143-46:1". The record is from RNAcentral. Lineage: Eukaryota; Metazoa; Chordata; Mammalia; Primates; Hominidae.
GGUGCGCGGGCCUCGGCCAGGCCUGAGAUGCCGGGAGGGUUUGACCCUGGGGCUGCAUGGACAGCUUAGCGCUCGGCCGCUGGCGACAGCGGAGGGCGGAGGAUCUGCAGGUUCCGGGGGACGUGGUGAGCCCCCGGGGCCUGGGCGUUAGGGACGGGAGGGCGGAUGGCCCCUGGGCGGGUUCCCACCGCGCCUCGUUUUUGCCGGCGCGGCCCUGCCUGUGAGGAGGCCUGGCCCAAGACACUCGCACGCUCGCGUACGUCCCUGGGAGGGCGUGGCCUGUUAGGGCGGGGUUGUGACGCCGCUCUCCCGGUUUCGCGCCUGCGCGGUCGGGCGCGGAGCUCGGGCACCUUCCUGACCCACACGCUCACUGGGGCUCCAGACCCAGGCUCCCUAAAACAUGGGCCGAGACUCAUUGCAGGACCUCGGGUGCUUGGUAUCCGUGUCAUGUCUUCUCCUGCCGUCUACACCUGACUGUUCCUGAGUCUCGUUCACUGAGCGCCUGCCACGUGCCAGGCCCAGGGCUGGGCAGGUUACCCCAGUAAUAUAGUAAUAAUAUGGUAUAGUAAUGUAGUAUAGUAAUAGUAUAGUACAGUAAUAUAGCAGGUUAGGGUGCUUUUGUAACCAAGAGCCUUCAAAGCACGCUGGCCCUAACAAGAUGGAAGUUUGAUUCUCCUGCACAGAACAGCAUGGACGUGAGCAGUCCAGUGGGGUGGAGCCCAGGGUCACUAAAUAUAGGCGUAGGGCUGGUGGUACCCAGAUCAGGGGAUAUGCGGGGACCUAAGUUCCUUCCCCUCACACCAUCCCCUGGGUGUCACCCUCCUCUGCAUAGCCAAGGGUGGCUCACUGCUACUGUGCUACCAGAUGGCAGAAAAACAAACAGAAAAGUGACAUGAUUAUGCUGAUGUGUUGAGACCUUACUUCACUGCCCUGGAAAAUGAAAGGUGUGAUCAGGGUGCAGGCAGGGAGGCAAGGCUUGUGGCUACAGUAGUGUGUCAGAGGAGAAGUGGCAGAGGUUUGCACAAGAGAGGGCAGUGGGGUGGUGACACUAGAGAGACGUGACUGUGUAGAGGGAGAGAUGUGAUUUUCUUUAUCAUUUAGAACUUGUUCUGCAUGUACUUUGGAGUCUUCAAAUGUUAUUUUCUGUUUAUUAAGUUCAUUCACUUGUUCGUUCCAUACUUCAGCUUCUUGCAAAAGCUGUUUCUGGCUUUCCUGAAGGUGAGAGUUUUCAUUCAAAGCAUCUUUUAUUGCUAUCUUCAGUUGUUUCUCAGUCAUUUUAAAUCUCUUGAAGAUCAUUUUGGCUUCAGCUACUUGUGAUUUGAGGGAUUCUGACUCAUCUGCUAGAGGCUGUAUCGUUUUUGAAAUAUCCGCCAUCAAUUCAUUUUGUUGCGAAUGUUUAGAUUUCUCUUCUUUUAACUCUUUUUCUAGACAGAGAAUUUCAUGCUCAAGUUCAGAAUUGGACCUGUUCAACUUUUCACAGGUUGCCUCCAAACUUCGUGCUUCUGCUGCCGCCUUCUCAAAGCUGGCAUCCUCUAACGAUGACGCUACUUCAUAGUCUUCAUACUCUUUUUGAACAAGGCUAAAUUUUUCAAGUAGUUUACAUUUUUCUUCAAUUAGUCCAGAAAGCAUUAUAGCAAGCUUUUUCUCUCUUCCCACAUAAAGCCGACUCCUAACCGAUCUAAAACUUCUCCACAGAAAAAGGAGAACAGCAAAAAAUGCAGCAACAGCUGCACAUAUCACCAUUUCCCAUGGAAAACCAUGAGGAUUCGAAUCCAGUCUCAUACUUUCAGGCAGCGACAUGUUUUGAGCGCCUGCUGUGUCUCAAGCCCUGUCCUAGGCACUGGAGAUGAGAUGAAGAAACGAUGAGUAGAGGCCUUGCUUACGUUUAUCCUGCAACUCAUGAUGAGGCUUACUCUGCAACUCCAGUGCUCGGCUUUUUACACAACAGAGUCUCUGUUGCCCAGGCUGGAGUACAGUCGCACGAUCUUGGCUCACUGCAACCUCUGCCUCUCAGGUUCGAGUGAUUCUUCUGCCUCAGCCUCCCAAGUUGCUGGGAUUACAGGUAUGCUGGAGUUUGCUGGAGGUCCACUCCAGACCCUGUUUGUCUGGGUAUCACCAGCAGAGGCUGCAGAACACCAAAGAUUGCUGCCUGUUCCUUCUUCUGGAAGCUUCGUCCCAGAGGGGCACCUGCCAGAUGCCAGCUGGAGCUCUCCUCUAUGAGAAACGGGUAUGCAGGAGAUUAGAAGCCAGUGGGCAUGAGCGUGGCUGCCACCAGGUGAAUGCCUGUGCCCUGGCGUCCUGGGGCCCAGAGGACCGGGAGCUUCCAUCAAGAGGCUGCCUCCCAGCACCAAGGCCAGAGAGUGGCCAGGGGAGGCUAAGUACAGGGUAGAUUUCUCAGAAUGGUGGAAGGAGCUCAGCCCAGCCUUGCCCAAGAUGUAUUGCAGGGGAAUCUGUAAGUGCAUUAACCUUCUUGCUGUGACAUAAAAGAUAGACUUCUUCUUAAAUAUUAGAUCCAUAAAACAAAGUUAAUAAAAACUGCAAUUAUGUUUCUGAAGAAUGAGGAACAUAAAUAAAAAGGUGAAAAAAAAAAGAAACAAUGGACAUAAGAAUUGGAAAGAGAAAAAUCUAAAUUGUUAUUUCCAGAUGGUAUAAUUAUCUACAUAGAAUAUCCAAGGCUGACCACAGUGACUCAUGCUUAUAAUCCCAGCACUUUGGGAGGCUGAGACAGGAGGAUUGCCUGAGCCCAGUAGUUGGAGGCUGCAGUGAGCUAUGAUUAUGCCACUGUACUCCAUCCCAGGCAGCAGGGUGAGACCCCAUCUCUUACUGGUACAGAAGGGUGCACGCCCACUUUCAAGUGUUGACGCCUCCAAGAAGGAAGGGAGGAAGAUGAGGCAAGGGUGUGACAGGUGUCCCUCGGCACAGGGCACAGCAGGUGCUCUAAAGACAUUUCAUCAUACAAAGAUGCAUGCUGGUAAAGACGGAUGAUUGUCUUAGAGGUCCAAGCUUUUACUGUAGGCCUUUGUAGAAUUCUCUUGAGAAGGGACAGUGUUUUGUGGUAGUAAAGACGAAUAUGCUGUUAAAGGAAGAAAAAAUGACUCCUCUGGCAGAUGGUAAUGGCAGGAAUCGUCAACAUCUUUAACCCACAGAGGGCUGCUGUCAUCCUGUCACACAGGUACUCGGGGAGAAGCAGAGAGCUAGCCACAGCCAGGGCUCUGCCCAUUAAGGAAAAAUGGCUUCAGCAAAAAGGGAAGGAGAUGUGGGGUGCAGUUCUCUCCUCCCCCAGUCCACAGGGAUGACUUGCAGCCUGCUGCCUCCUGGGUCUGCGCACCCCACGGCACCUCCAAGUGAGCCUCCCAGGCUUCCACUGACUCUGCCCCUUCAGUGCACAGCCCAGAGCCGUGAUUUGCCAGCUGGGCUCCUGCGUUCAGAGUCUCCCAACAGAACAGGUUCUUGUCCAGAGAAGUUCAGGAAAUGCUACAUACUUUCCCCUGCCUUUUAGAGACUUGAUGUCCAUUAGACUGUGAAAGACCUCGAGAAUUGCAUGAAGAAACUGGUUUCCAAAAUGUCCUUUUGUAAAGGGAUACCUGCUACACAUGUGAUUCUGGGAAUAUUCUGGGAAGCGCAGGCCUGUUGAGUAAAUGCAGCACCUGUAUUCACCAUGGCAUCCAGGGCCCUUCAAAUCUCAGUGUUGCUUGACCUCCCAGACAGCUGCUCCCAUCCCUGCCAUGUGCGCCACAAGCCCCUGCUCCAGCCGCCACAGCUUCUCCGAUCCUGGAACAGUCUGACCUUGUACUGUGCUUACUGCUUGAGGUAUACCUUCCCACCUCCAAAGAUUCUCUUGCUCCUUCGUGGCCCACCCGAGAUUCCUGUCUUGUGUGAAGCCUUCUUCAGGCCCCUCACCAGGUAGGGUCACGUGCUGUCUUCCCUGGCUCCUGUAGCAUUUCGUUCUGAUCACUCGAAGGAGCCAUCAGUAUCUGACGUCAGUACUCUGAGGGACAUUUUAGCCAUACCAAGAAUCAUUAGAAGAUGCAAGCUGGAAAAAAGAAGGUCCCAGUUUUGGUUUUGAACCCUUCAUGUUGCAGCAAAUGUGAAUCUCCUACAGAUGGGUUUGGGGACUUACCUGUUCAAAUAGCAGCCCGGUGUCCUCUGUGGGUGGGGGGAGGUUUGUCUGUCCUUUCAUUCUAGUAAAUCCACCAUCCUCUGCACGAGAGCCAGGAGAAUCCACAUCACUUCAAAAGAGCCCCCAAAUCCUUACUACGUACUACAGCCUCCUUUCGAAUGUUCCUGGUUGAGAGGGAGAUCAAUUGCAUUAUUUACAAGUCAAAAAAUUUUGUAUCAAACUUCCUAUGAGCUUGGGCACUCAUGGCCUAUGGAGGCCCACCCAGACGCAGCCCCGCCAUCAUGCUUUUUCGUUGUUUUGUGGAUGUACCCAGGGCUAUUUACACACUCUUUCAUUAAAAGGCUUAUUUUUAUAUUUAAAAUGCAUCUUUUCCAUUGACUGUCCAUUCCAUUUUUAUCAUACAUGGUGUAGUUUCUUUACUUGCUUCUCUGUUCUUUGAUCUUUCUCAUGCAUUGGCCAUAACAUUGUGCAUGUGUGUGGGUGGCCUUUUUAUUAAAAUAUAACACACAUGCAGAAGAGCGAAUAAAUGUGUGCCC